GAUGAACGCUGGCGGCGUGCCUAAUACAUGCAAGUCGAACGGGAACCAUCCUUCGGGGUGGUGAGAGUGGCGGACGGGUGAGUAACACGUAGCUGACCUGCCGUAUGCUGGAGGAUAACACCGGGAAACCGGUGCUAAGACUGCGUAAGCUCAGAGGGGUUAGAGGCUCCUUGAGGAGAACGAUGAGUGGCAUACGAGGGGGCUGCGGGCCAUCAGGUAGUUGGUGGGGUAAGAGCCUACCAAGCCAACGACGGCUAGGGGACCUGAGAGGGUGACCCCCCACACUGGAACUGAGACACGGUCCAGACUCCUACGGGAGGCAGCAGUAAGGGAUAUUGCACAAUGGGCGCAAGCCUGAUGCAGCAACGCCGCGUGCAGGAAGAAGGGCUUCGGCUCGUAAACUGCUUUUCUGCGGGAAGAGGAUGACGGUACCGCAGGAAGAAGUCUCGGCUAACUACGUGCCAGCAGCCGCGGUAAAACGUAGGAGGCAAGCGUUAUCC
Molecule: ribosomal RNA, 500 nt
Filed under: uncultured bacterium
Lineage: Bacteria
Description: bacterial SSU rRNA
Rfam family: Bacterial small subunit ribosomal RNA
Source: RNAcentral